Molecule: long non-coding RNA, 760 nt
Organism: Leptidea sinapis
Lineage: Eukaryota; Metazoa; Arthropoda; Insecta; Lepidoptera; Pieridae
Exons: 3
Source: RefSeq, a predicted model, not a curated record
AACCCUAAAUACCUAGCUAGGGGGUGAUGGGUAAGCUCCGCCGUUGCCGGUCCCAAGCCCGGAAGAGAAAGGAGGAGGGUAGGUGUGGAGGAGAACAACCCAACCAUAAGAGAAAACAACGCCGAAAAUCGGGUGGCGGUCAAUAAACCCGACCCCUGCGACACCUGUUGGAGAGUGGCUCACAGAAACCAUGAGGAAUUAAAUAACCUGUAAAAUUCUGCAGUGGAAGGAUCUGGGUGCCCACCACUACAUAUUUACCCAAGAAAACUCUCUCAACGCACAGUACCAUUGACAGAGCUAGUUAGUUGAGCGAUCCGGCUAAGCCCCGGCGCCGCUCGGUAACCGGGCCGGGCGGUGUUAAAUUUGCCUCAUAAUGCCCGAUGCGAGGAGGAGGUGUGAAAAAUCUAUCGCCGAAUGAAUGUCUACGUUAAAAAAGGAGAUUUACAGAAAUGGAGUGCUUUUAAUGAUACCUACAGGCUAUACAUGUUUUUACAGGUGUGUGACGAAUGACCAAUGACGCUUUGCAGUUCAAGAUCUGAGCGGGGUGGUAUAGACGAUAAUCACCGGUUGAUCUUGUACCGCGUGGUCAUAUGAAGUUAGCCUAGAUCAGUGCCCUCGCCUGUUAUACAUCAGAAAGACGUUCACGAACAGCAGAUGUGACCACCAGUAUUGCUGACAGUCGCUGAUCGGUGUGCCCACGUAGUAGUUCCACAACGGACCAUUGCCGAGGUGGCGGAACCACGUGGUGGUGAAACCGAGG